RNAcentral lists this ribosomal RNA (256 nucleotides) under uncultured bacterium. Its description in RNAcentral is "partial 16S ribosomal RNA". It matches the Rfam family "Bacterial small subunit ribosomal RNA", at positions 524 to 776 of the family's 1533-position model. The record is from RNAcentral.
UACGUAGGGAGCAAGCGUUGUCCGGAAUCAUUGGGCGUAAAGCGCGCGUAGGUGGCCAUGUAAGUCCGCUGUGAAAGUCAAAGGCUCAACCUUUGAAAGCCGGUGGAUACUGCAUGGCUAGAGUACGGAAGAGGCGAGUGGAAUUCCUGGUGUAGCGGUGGAAUGCGCAGAUAUCAGGAGGAACACCAAUAGCGAAGGCAGCUCGCUGGGACGUUUACUGACACUAAGGCGCGAAAAGCGUGGGGGAGCGAACAGG